RNAcentral lists this ribosomal RNA (253 nucleotides) under uncultured bacterium. Its description in RNAcentral is "partial 16S ribosomal RNA". It matches the Rfam family "Bacterial small subunit ribosomal RNA", at positions 524 to 776 of the family's 1533-position model. The record is from RNAcentral.
UACGGGGGGAGCAAGCGUUGUUCGGAUUUACUGGGCGUAAAGGGCGUGCAGGCGGUCUGUUAAGUGCAGGGUGAAAGCUCCCGGCUCAACUGGGAGAGGUCCUUGCAUACUGGCGGACUUGAGGGGGGUAGAGGAAAGUGGAAUUCCCGGUGUAGUGGUGAUAUGCGUAGAUAUCGGGAGGAACACCUGUGGCGAAGGCGGCUUUCUGGGCCCUACCUGACGCUGAGACGCGAAAGCGUGGGGAGCGAACCGG